AUUGAUCCUAUAUUAGAAGACCAGAUUUAUAAAGAUGACGUACAAACUUUCUUAUAGCAACAAAGAAUCGCACGAAAAGAGUAACGUCAACAAAAUAAAAAAUUUGUUAUUGAAGUCUUGUUCUUGGAAGGUAGAUACUUGGUAUUUUAAAUAAACAAAAGCAAAACACUAUAUAAUAGAACAAAGCUCCAUCUACGCUGAACCUCCAUCUCUGUUUCCACCUCUCUCUUUCCAACGCAAAGGAUAAGCACGAUUCUUAUUCCCUCAUUGCCAAGCUUAUCUAGUUCUUUUAUGUAUAAAAGAUAUGAACUUCUAUCUUCUUUCUGUAAGAAAUAGACAAAUGCUGGCUUUCUUUCAAUAAUUAGCAAACUGAAUUCUGCCAAAGAUGUCAUUGUUGAAAGAUUUUGGUACAUCACAAACACAAGUUAUUAGACUAUGAUAUACCUCAAUGAAUAAACGUAACAGGUUGAAAACUAAUCACAAGCCAACAAAUUGUAGUUGAUCCUUAGAAAUCAGGUGAUUCCUAGCUAUUCUCAAACUCAACCCCUUUAGCAAAGGGGUUCCCACACAAUUGCUGCCAACUUCAUUUGUUCUAGUAUUAGCCUCUAAAUGUAGUCAUUGAAAGUGAUGAAAGCUAAAAUGUCAAGUUGAAAAGAACAAUAACUACUCUAUAUUGAGCGGCUAUAGACCACAUGAAGAAUAAACUUGAGAAUGAAAACAGCAUAGAGAAAAAGAAUAGAUAUUUGAUUUUCUACUUCUCUUCGGUCGAUGCAAUUCUCAAAACUCUGUUGCCUGGAGGUAGAGUAAUAACUAUGACUUCAAUUUCACAUAAUACUAACAAAUAAUGACUUAAAUUUCAUAGAGAAACAACUUCUCUAUGGCGAUUUGAAAAAAAAAAAAAGAGUACUAAAAAACAGAGGAUGAAGAGAAAGACAAGUAUGGUCAAAUCCUGUAUGAUAAAAGAUAAGAAGGCAUCUUCAAAUUUGUAGGAAAAGCAAGUUGUUGGUUCUAAUUUGCCAAAUAUUGGUAUUGUAUCUUUUGCAAGAGUAAGUGCAUGUAGUUUAUAUCAUCUCUCCAUUGAGUGUUCUCUUCACAAGCUUCAUUCUCUCAAUUUUAACAGCAUCACAAUAGAUCAACUGUUGUCCUCGUUAGAUUGAUAUUUUCGCAUCAUGGUGGGCAAUUAUAGUUGGUUGAUUGAGAAAGCUAAAAGGUUAAAAUGGGGUGUGAAGAGAAGCUAUUAGUUUUGCAACUUUAAUUGUCACCUUUAUGUUAAGUUUUAACCAUAAAAAUUGAUCACCGUUUAAGCUACCUUUAUGCUUUAUUUAAAUGUCAAACCCCCCAAAAAGGCAGAAACAACAUGAUCUAAGGAAGAGAAAGAACAAUUCGAUAAAAAGGCAAGAAUAUGACAAAAAAAAAAUUAAAAAAGAUUUCCUAAGCAUUGUAAUGUUGCUGCAAAUAAGUCAUUUUCUGAUUACUAAAAUAUUACUUUGUAUAUUAAAUGCAUUAGCCGCUCGUAAAUCAGAACUUCAAGGGAUGGACUCGACCGAAUGGCCAACCACUUAAUAUUUUUGUAGGAGAUGAAAUCCAAAAGGAGAAGGAAAUAAUAACAUGGCAAAUAUAGUAAUACUAAUAUACAAGAAUUCGGUAUAAUCAAAAUAAAAUAUGAAUUAACAGGAAGUUAAAAAUCUAAUAAUCGAAACUCCAUAUGAUUAAACUAUAAUGAACAUUUAGAGACACUGUAUAAUUGAAUGAUCACAAUUAUUCAAGGCCGUUUGUUUCGUUUUUCUCUACAGCUAUACAAGAGUGUAAAAGAAUUACCGACCUGCAUUUGUUGAGUGGUUUGUCCUGCAGUUGUGGAAAUUAUACCUCUCUAUAGGGUUUUUUGUCGAACACUUCAUCGGCGUCAACAUAACAUGCCCUGCUCAUUUGAUUUUUUCACAUAAUAAACUUGGUAAGUACUUGCAAUAAGCAACAGUUAAAAAAUUUGUGAAAUAUUCUAAAAGUUAACAACGACAACUACAAAAAAAAAAUCAAGUAUAUUCAUUUAAUAACAAAAGGACAAAAUCUUAAAAUAUUGAAAUUGGGAAUAGAUAAUAGUAGAGAUACCUUCAUCUUGCAGGUAGAAUGCAGAGAAAACAAACUAAACAUGAAAGAGAAUAACUAUGUUCCAAAACGAUAAAGAUGAGAUUUACCUUGAGAAUUGAGAGAAACAACUUUGUGACGAUUGGAAAAACAGAAUAAGUAAUAAAACAUAGAGGAUUGAAAAGAAAGCAAGUAUGGUAAUUAAGAGAGCAAGAGUGAGUUACUGUUACGAAAGGAAUUUAAGGAGAAGCAAUUGUUGGGGUUUUUGCCGUGACUGUAACCGAUAGAAUUUACAUAAAUACGGGACUGUGUAUUUAUCAGUAGGAAACUAUUCUUUUCUUUAUUUAAAAAAGCAAAGCUCUAAGAAAAGAGAUA
RNAcentral lists this long non-coding RNA (2457 nucleotides) under Nicotiana tabacum (common tobacco). RNAcentral describes it as "long non-coding RNA (NTAB_LNC001198)". Lineage: Eukaryota; Viridiplantae; Streptophyta; Magnoliopsida; Solanales; Solanaceae. The record is from RNAcentral.